GAGUUUGAUCCUGGCUCAGAUUGAACGCUGGCGGCAUGCCUUACACAUGCAAGUCGAACGGCAGCAUGAUCUAGCUUGCUAGGAUUGACUGGCGAGUGGCGAACGGGUGAGUAAUACAUCGGAACGUGCCCUGUAGUGGGGGAUAACUAGUCGAAAGAUUAAGCUAAAUACCGCAUACGACCUGAGGGUGAAAGUGGGGGACCGCAAGGCCUCAUGCUAUAGGAGCGGCCGAUGUCUGAUUAGCUAGUUGGUGGGGUAAAGGCCCACCAAGGCGACGAUCAGUAGCUGGUCUGAGAGGACGAUCAGCCACACUGGGACUGAGACACGGCCCAGACUCCUACGGGAGGCAGCAGUGGGGAAUUUGGACAAUGGGCGAAAGCCUGAUCCAGCAAUGCCGCGUGUGUGAAGAAGG
RNAcentral lists this ribosomal RNA (412 nucleotides) under uncultured microorganism. Its description in RNAcentral is "bacterial SSU rRNA". It matches the Rfam family "Bacterial small subunit ribosomal RNA", at positions 9 to 414 of the family's 1533-position model. The record is from RNAcentral.